GUAGGGAAUCUUCGGCAAUGGACGAAAGUCUGACCGAGCAACGCCGCGUGAGUGAAGAAGGUUUUCGGAUCGUAAAACUCUGUUGGUAGAGAAGAACGUUGGUGAGAGUGGAAAGCUCAUCAAGUGACGGUAACUACCCAGAAAGGGACGGCUAACUACGUGCCAGCAGCCGCGGUAAUACGUAGGUCCCGAGCGUUGUCCGGAUUUAUUGGGCGUAAAGCGAGCGCAGGUGGUUUAUUAAGUCUGGUGUAAAAGGCAGUGGCUCAACCAUUGUAUGCAUUGGAAACUGGUAGACUUGAGUGCAGGAGAGGAGAGUGGAAUUCCAUGUGUAGCGGUGAAAUGCGUAGAUAUAUGGAGGAACACCGGUGGCGAAAGCGGCUCUCUGGCCUGUAACUGACACUGAGGCUCGAAAGCGUGGGGAGCAAACAGGAUUAGAUACCCUUGUAGUCC
Molecule: ribosomal RNA, 450 nt
Filed under: uncultured bacterium
Lineage: Bacteria
Description: partial 16S ribosomal RNA
Rfam family: Bacterial small subunit ribosomal RNA
Source: RNAcentral